AAUGAACGCUGGCGGCGUGCUUUACACAUGCAAGUUGAGCGAGGCCACCCGCAAGGGUGAGUCGAGCGGCGAACGGGUGAGUAACGCGUGGAUAACCUGCCCUGAGGUGGGGAAUAACCCGGGGAAACUCGGGCUAAUACCGCAUGAUACCUAGCGGUCAAAGGGGGCUCGCAAGAGCUCUUGCCACAGGAGGGGUCCGCGUUCGAUUAGCUAGUUGGUAGGGUAAUGGCCUACCAAGGCGACGAUCGAUAGCCGGCCUGAGAGGGUGAUCGGCCACACUGGAACUGAGACACGGUCCAGACUCCUACGGGAGGCAGCAGUGGGGAAUUUUGCGCAAUGGGCUAACGCCUGACGCAGCAACGCCGCGUGGAGGAUGAAGGUCUUUGGAUUGUAAACUCCUGUCAGCAGGGAAAAAGGGAGGGGACCUAAUACGUGCCUGACUUGAUUGUACCUGCAGAGGAAGCCCCGGCUAACUCUGUGCCAGCAGCCGCCGUAAG
Molecule: ribosomal RNA, 497 nt
Filed under: uncultured bacterium
Lineage: Bacteria
Description: bacterial SSU rRNA
Rfam family: Bacterial small subunit ribosomal RNA
Source: RNAcentral